Long non-coding RNA from Asparagus officinalis (garden asparagus), 206 nucleotides. RefSeq lists it as uncharacterized. The record is from RefSeq and is a predicted model, not a curated record. The transcript has 3 exons. NCBI's taxonomy places the organism in Eukaryota, Viridiplantae, Streptophyta, Magnoliopsida, Asparagales, Asparagaceae.
AGAAAGAAAGGAAGAAACGCAUAUGUAGCAGAUGUGGUGAACUCGGGCAUUAUAGAACUAGCUGUAAAGUUAACUUGCAAAGCUAAACAUAUGCACGGGUGGUGGAUGUAUUGGUUUGUUCACAAAGUCAUAUCUCAUGAUUAAUCGCUACCACUAACACAGGAAAGAGCACAAUCAGCUCAGGUUCAUCCACAACUCUGCCUUGG